GAUACUACACUUGAUCUUAGCCAAAAGGCCGAGAAAGGUAUAGAUUGACGGACAUUCAUCAAGAUCUUAACGUUUUGCACAACGGCCUGAAGGCUACGAUCUCCUUUUAUUUCGAGCAGUCCGAUCUCAAGGUAGCAUGCGUAAAAUGUUACUCUCACCGGAAGAUAUGCUAUUUUUCCAGUUUAUUAAUAGACUAGGUCCAGGGCACAGAUGGCUAAACAUGCCAAAAGGCAUGAACAAUGCAUACAUGAGAUCAACACAUCUCUUAUUAUAUGUACUCAGCAGCAGCGUCGCAAUUUGGGUGCAAUGAUCGACACAGAGAAUUUCCUGAAGAUGAUGGCUGCACGCUCCAGAUAUCUCAACACAUUAUCCCCAAUCCCCAUGCUGCAGCACGACGUUUCACUGGCAGUCCUUCAGCACCAAACUAGCCAAAGUUAAUUCCCUGUGCUAGAGGCAGCUCGCUUCCAUAGUUGAUUGUACUGCAAAUAUUUGUAACCAACAUCAGUAAAUGAAAACAAUUGCAAAACCUUGAUACAUGAGCUUUAGCAUACUGGAUAGUUGAGGUCAAACUAUAACAAAAAAGCAAUAGUAACCAAUCGGUCUUGCUUGUUUCUGUCCCAAAUACAAAUAAAAAAUGCAUUUACAAUGUCAAACCAAUGAGAAGCUUGGUAAAAGUCCCAUUUCAGAAUCAAAGUAACAUGAGGUUGCUAGUGGUAGCUAGCAGUCACUAGAGCUUGGUUACGUAAAAAUAUUUCUCCCUAGUAACAAGACAGGAGCUUCAAUUUUACGGGCUUGCACCAGCUCCACAGGAAGAGAACAAUACUAACUACAUACUAGAGUCUCAAUGAUGUUCCUAUGUUUGUCCACUAUGCUCCAACAAGGCAUAUUCCUAUGCUUGUUAUAACAAACUAGAAUCUCAAUGAUGCAACUUUAUUAGUCUAAAACUUGGGAACUGAUGGCAAUGAGCAUGUACAUUAUUCAUUAAAGGCUUGGUUGCAUCAUUUUAGCAUACAGCUGGUCCAAGUUAAUAAGCUUCAAAUGACAACUUAGAGGAAAGCAAAAUUAAGUAUUGGUUGUACCAUUUGUAAUUCCCAGAAAAGAUUUGCCUACUUACCAAGUGGCCCUCCUCAUGUACUGCUUCCAAGAAUCACUUCCAGCUUCUCGCCCACCACCGGUUGCUUUUUCUCCACCAAAAGCUCCACCAAUUUCAGCACCAUUAGUGGGUAUGUUUACAUUCACUAUACCACAAUCACUGCCAUGAGGCCUGCAUAUCAAGGAGAAUAAGAACAAUCACUACUGGUUUACUAAUAAUUGUGUCUCGGAUGUGUCAGCCAUCAAGAUAAGCCAGUGGGGUACAUACAACCAGAUGUAACUGUCUUCGCAGGUGGAUCAAUUGUUUUAAAAUACAAUUUACAAAAGAUAAACUUCUAGCACAUAUAGCUCUAGUAGAGUUGUUAUCUUAUGAGUAUCAUUUCAAUAGAUGACUCUUGAAGUGUCAAUGAACAUGAAUAAUCAACUAAAAAAGGAAAAAAAUGCACAGUGUAUAUAUAAUAUACUGAAAAAUACUAAAACCUUUAGUUGAAUCUUAAAAUUGGUUUAAUUUGCUGGACAGGAAAAAUGAUGAUCACAAAGUGUCCAACUUUAGACCUUCAGAAAACAAAGUCAGUGCGACAAAGGUAAGAUCACAGUGCGACUGAUGUGCCAGUACAAUCAUACCAACUGUCCGAAUGGAUGUUCAGAUGCCAAAAAAAAAGGUAACAGUACAGCUCUCUGGGUUAUUGAACCAAAGCUUACCCAAUCCACUUGAAAAUAGCAUCCGGUUUCCUUGUAAAUAUAGAACUGCUCAAUCCUUGAGGAACAGAAUUGUUGAUUUCAAUUGCUUCCUUCAGUGUCUGCAGGAUAAUUGUAACCAGGAUGUGUAUACUUAUGAAAAUGACAUAAGACAACGGCAUACAAUCAAUGCCACAUAGAGCAGGUGAAUAACACACAAGUUU
Molecule: long non-coding RNA, 1994 nt
Filed under: Triticum aestivum (bread wheat)
Lineage: Eukaryota; Viridiplantae; Streptophyta; Magnoliopsida; Poales; Poaceae
Description: long non-coding RNA (TAES_LNC005713)
Source: RNAcentral